RNAcentral lists this ribosomal RNA (253 nucleotides) under uncultured bacterium. Its description in RNAcentral is "partial 16S ribosomal RNA". It matches the Rfam family "Bacterial small subunit ribosomal RNA", at positions 524 to 776 of the family's 1533-position model. The record is from RNAcentral.
UACGUAGGGGGCUAGCGUUGUCCGGAAUCAUUGGGCGUAAAGCGCGCGUAGGCGGCCCGGCAAGUCCGCUGUGAAAGUCAAAGGCUCAACCUUUGAAUGUCAGCGGAUACUGCCAGGCUAGAGUCCGGAAGAGGCGAGUGGAACUCCUGGUGUAGCGGUGGAGUGCGCAGAUAUCAGGAGGAACACCGGUGGCGAAGGCGGGUCUCUGGGCAACAACUGACGCUGAGGAGCGAAAGCGUGGGGAGCGAACAGG